Molecule: long non-coding RNA, 380 nt
Organism: Myotis brandtii (Brandt's bat)
Lineage: Eukaryota; Metazoa; Chordata; Mammalia; Chiroptera; Vespertilionidae
Exons: 2
Source: RefSeq, a predicted model, not a curated record
UCUCCCACCAAUACCAAAAUUCUCUCCAUUACUGUCUUAUUUUUUUUACAAAAUGUCCAGAAAUGACACCAGUUGUUACCAUCUCUUGCUUCUCACAUUACUCCAUAUAUUGAUGUAGGACCCAAUAUUGAAGGUGCCACCAUGUGACUUGCUUUGGACAACGAAACGUGGGUGGAAGGGACACAUGUCAUCUCUGGAAAGCAGCUUGAACAGCCAGCUUGUGGUUUUGCCAUCUGUCAUUUCCUGCUGUCACGAGACUGCUAAUGUCCCAGAUAGAGGCUGCUCCAUCAACCUGGGUGCUCAAGUAAAGAUGAUGUAGAGGACAGCACAGAUGUUGAAAUGGGCAAGUACUAUAAGUGAGAAAUAAACCUUUGCUAUUA